UACGUAGGGGGCAAGCGUUAUCCGGAUUUACUGGGUGUAAAGGGGGCGCAGACGGCGAUGCAAGCCAGGAGUGAAAGCCCGGGGCCCAACCCCGGGACUGCUCUUGGAACUGCGUGGCUGGAGUGCAGGAGGGGCAGGCGGAAUUCCUGGUGUAGCGGUGAAAUGCGUAGAUAUCAGGAGGAACACCGGUGGCGAAAGCGGCCCUCUGGCCUGUAACUGACACUGAGGCUCGAAAGCGUGGGGAGCAAACAGG
Molecule: ribosomal RNA, 253 nt
Filed under: uncultured bacterium
Lineage: Bacteria
Description: partial 16S ribosomal RNA
Rfam family: Bacterial small subunit ribosomal RNA
Source: RNAcentral